AGGGCACCACCAGGAGUGGAGCCUGCGGCUUAAUUUGACUCAACACGGGAAAUCUCACCAGGCCCGGACACCGGAAGGAUUGACAGAUUGAGAGCUCUUUCUUGAUUCGGUGGGUGGUGGUGCAUGGCCGUUCUUAGUUGGUGGAGCGAUUUGUCUGGUUAAUUCCGAUAACGAACGAGACUCUGGCCUACUAACUAGACGUCAGAUCCUUUAUGGGUCUGUCGUAGCUUCUUAGAGGGACGGGCGGCGUUUAGCCGCACGAGAAUGAGCAAUAACAGGUCUGUGAUGCCCUUAGAUGUCCGGGGCUGCACGCGCGCUACACUGGCGAAAUCAGCGUGCUGUAUCCAUUCUCGAAAGGGAUUGGUAAACCCAUGAAAAUUUGCCGUGCUUGGGAUCGGAAAUUGCAAUUAUUUUCCGUGAACGAGGAAUUCCAAGUAAGUGCGAGUCAUCAACUCGCUCUGAUUACGUCCCUGCCCUUUGUACACACCGCCCGUCGCUGCCCGGGACUGAGCCAUUUCG
This 519-nucleotide ribosomal RNA is filed under the name uncultured eukaryote. Its description in RNAcentral is "bacterial SSU rRNA". It matches the Rfam family "Eukaryotic small subunit ribosomal RNA", at positions 1161 to 1701 of the family's 1831-position model. The record is from RNAcentral.